This 142-nucleotide ribosomal RNA is filed under the name uncultured eukaryote. RNAcentral's name for it is "partial 18S ribosomal RNA". It matches the Rfam family "Eukaryotic small subunit ribosomal RNA", at positions 1299 to 1458 of the family's 1831-position model. The record is from RNAcentral.
UGGUGGAGUGAUUUGUCUGCUUGAUUGCGUUAACGAACGAGACCUUAGCCUGCUAAAUAGUCGCGCGAGCCCUGGCGCUCGUCCCGGCGACUUCUUAGAGGGACAAUGUGUGUCGAGCACAUGGAAGUUUGAGGCAAUAACA